AGACUUUUUUGUUACAUUAAUCAUCUAUUUUUUCUAAAAAAAAUAUUUCUGCAGUGAUAUUUUCACAGGGGGGGCGGGGGAGAGGCUCACAGGGUCUGCGCAUCUCAAAACACGAGAUAUAAACCACACGGAGGUCAUUGAGGAGACUUGGACAUCUCUGCUUAGGCCACGGUAAAACAAUAUUGGUAGGGUCAGGUUAUAGGACAUGUUGCCUAC
Molecule: non-coding RNA, 216 nt
Organism: Pelobates cultripes (western spadefoot toad)
Lineage: Eukaryota; Metazoa; Chordata; Amphibia; Anura; Pelobatidae
Source: the annotation of a GenBank genome assembly